AUGUUCUUCUUGGUAGCAUAUAUAUUAAAAUUUGAAUGAUACAGAGAAGAUUAGUAUGACACCUGCACAAGCUGGUUUGGGGAUGGUGAGAAGGCUCCACAGUACAG
This 107-nucleotide small nuclear RNA is filed under the name Acanthisitta chloris (rifleman). The record is from RNAcentral. Lineage: Eukaryota; Metazoa; Chordata; Aves; Passeriformes; Acanthisittidae.